GACGAACGCUGGCGGCGUGCCUAAUACAUGCCAGUAGAACGCUGAAGGAGGAGCUUGCUUCUCUGGACGAGUUGCGAACGGGUGAGUAACGCGUAGGUAACCUGCCUGGUAGCGGGGGAUAACUAUUGGAAACGAUAGCUAAUACCGCAUAAGAGUAGAUGUCGCAUGACAUUUGCUUAAAAGGUGCAAUUGCAUCACUACCAGUUGGACCUGCGUUGUAUUAGCUAGUUGGUGAGGUAACGGCGCACCAAGGCAACGAUACAUAGCCGACCUGGGAGGGGGGUCGGCCAACCUGGGACUGGGACACGGCCCAGACCCCUUCAGGAGGCAGCCGGAGGGGAUCUUCGGCAAUUGGCGGAAGUCUGACCGAGCAACGCCGCGGGAGUGAAGAAAGUUUUCGGAUCGGAAAGCUCUGUUGUAAGGGAAGAACGAGUGUGAGAGUGGAAAGUUCGCACCGUGACGGUAUCUUACCAGAAAGGGACGGCUAACUACGUG
Molecule: ribosomal RNA, 495 nt
Filed under: uncultured bacterium
Lineage: Bacteria
Description: partial 16S ribosomal RNA
Rfam family: Bacterial small subunit ribosomal RNA
Source: RNAcentral